This 724-nucleotide ribosomal RNA is filed under the name uncultured Pantoea sp. Its description in RNAcentral is "bacterial SSU rRNA". It matches the Rfam family "Bacterial small subunit ribosomal RNA", at positions 64 to 781 of the family's 1533-position model. The record is from RNAcentral. Lineage: Bacteria; Pseudomonadati; Pseudomonadota; Gammaproteobacteria; Enterobacterales; Erwiniaceae.
GAACAGUGAAAUGCUCCUGCGAACAGGAGUUGCCCCGGGUGACAUGGCGGACGGGUGAGUAAUGUCUGGGAAACUGCCCGGUGGAGGGGGAUAACUACUGGAAACGGUAGCUAAUACCGCAUAACGUCUUCGGACCAAAGUGGGGGACUUGGCCUCACGCCACCGGAUGUGCCCAGAUGGGAUUAGCUAGUAGGUGGGGUAACGGCUCACCUAGGCGACGAUCCCUAGCUGGUCUGAGAGGAUGACCAGCCACACUGGAACUGAGACACGGUCCAGACUCCUACGGGAGGCAGCAGUGGGGAAUAUUGCACAAUGGGCGCAAGCCUGAUGCAGCCAUGCCGCGUGUAUGAAAAGGCCUUCGGGUUGUAAAGUACUUUCAGCGGGGAGGAAGGCGGUGAGGUUAAUAACCUCGCCGAUUGACGUUACCCGCAAAGAAGCACCGGUAACUCCGUGCCAGCAGCCGCGGUAAUACGGAGGGUGCAAGCGUUAAUCGGAAUUACUGGGCGUAAAGCGCACGCAGGCGGUCUGUUAAGUCAGAUGUGAAAUCCCCGGGCUUACCUGGGAACUGCAUUUGAAACUGGCAGGCUUGAGUCUCGUAGAGGGGGGUAGAAUUCCAGGUGUAGCGGUGAAAUGCGUAGAGAUCUGGAGGAAUACCGGUGGCGAAGCGGCCCCCUGGACAAGACUGACGCUCAGGUGCGAAAGCGUGGGGAGCAAACAGGAUUAA